CAAGUAAUUCUCAAAUAACAUCUGCAUGAUAACACUGACUGGUAAUAGGAUAUAGAUUGUUCACUAUUAAAAAAAGUCCUUGAACUGUACAAUGUAUUAAGUAAUGUAAUUAUGCUGGAGAUAACAGACUGAUGAGAAUAUAGGGAGUGAUGAGAUUUUUGACUGAGAUGAAAUAUAGAUUAUUACUGCAUUUGUGAAGUACAGGACAAGGGAAAGGCGGGGGGAAAUAAAGACAAGAGUGCUGUUACAGUAGAGCAAAUAUGAGAAAAAGGAAAAUGUAUUGGAAAAUAUUCAGCUACAGAAGUGUGACAUAUUUUCAUGGGACUUACCUGAAUGCACUGCUUUUUAUAUUCUUAGAUCUGGCAAAUUAGUUCCUAGGAGACACAGAAGGAAAUGCAUUUAGAUUCUCAUGACAGAGACAAAGAGUACAAAAAACAGCUCAGGACUACAAGACCCACUGAGGGAGAAUAAGACAUCUAAAAAAUGAACCAGCUGCCACAUAAAGAGAUAUUCAUAACAAUGAAAGCUUCAACAUCAUGUUUGGACCAAAAGCCAGUGAAGAAAGCACCUGACAGACUCAGUCAACUGAAGGUGGUGACCAACUUCAGAGAAAAAUUAUGCAAAGGCAAAAAGCUGGGCACAUGGUUUCUCCCUCCCUCUCAGAAAAAACAAACAAACAAAACCAAACAACAGUGUUUCCAGGACUGCUGCCUAUGAAGCCACAUUGGGACACAGCAAACUAUGUGAGAAUUGGAGUCUGGAUGACUUUGUGGGUCAUGCUUACAAGCCCAUGCACUAAUAAGCAGAAAUGACUGAAGAACCAAAGGUAACUAAUGAGACUCUUGGGAAACAGAGGUGUGUUGGUGUUCAGUCACAGCCUCCUGAGGACGUCCCAAAAGAUAGCCCUGCUCAUCAACCCCCACGUCACCAUGCUGGAAGGCAUGCAGACACGGAGAAAGAGAAAGGCCAAAUCAUAAGCUGUGGGAGAAAAACAGUGUGGACAAGCAGGUAAGCACAAAAAAAUGGUGAAACAAUCUCACAGUCACAUGUAUAACGUCACCCUUCCCCAGGGGAUGGACUGGUAUCACACUAACGAAGAGGAGUUUGAAGGACGGCAUUGAAGUCACUUCCUGUGUGUUUAGAGAUUGGCAUGCCCACACAUAGUUAAGAUGAGCUUGUUGGACAAAACAAGAGGUUGGCAAUGGGGCCCGGUGUCAUCGACUGGAUAGAAACACCCCGAUACUGACUAGCAGAGGGGUAAGGGAGGGCCUUAAGACUGAGGACAAGCAUACAGUGAAGGGACACCAAGGGAAGGGGGAC
This 1320-nucleotide long non-coding RNA is filed under the name Calidris pugnax (ruff). RNAcentral describes it as "lncRNA (ENSCPUG00000012380.1)". Lineage: Eukaryota; Metazoa; Chordata; Aves; Charadriiformes; Scolopacidae. The record is from RNAcentral.